This is a non-coding RNA of Pelobates cultripes (western spadefoot toad), 290 nucleotides long. Lineage: Eukaryota; Metazoa; Chordata; Amphibia; Anura; Pelobatidae. The record is from the annotation of a GenBank genome assembly.
AAACAAUACAAUUAUAAUCAAUUUGCUAUACCAUGAAUGAGUCAAUUAUCAUACUUGAUAAGAUUAACACAGCAGGGCGUACUGUGCGCUGCUAUACUUACCUUGCACGGCAUUCAUCGGUGCUCCGAUUCGGACAACCCAGGCAAUCCUCCUGCGGCCAAUCAGGCCCCCCGGCCCAUGUGAUCAUGAUGUAAUCAGAAUCACAUGGAUGGAAUAGCCUUCCAGGCUGCUCCCUGCAGGGGGACUGCCUGGGUUGUCACUGAAAAAAAGUUAUACAAAUUGUUAAGCGC